This 485-nucleotide ribosomal RNA is filed under the name uncultured bacterium. Its description in RNAcentral is "partial 16S ribosomal RNA". It matches the Rfam family "Bacterial small subunit ribosomal RNA", at positions 28 to 523 of the family's 1533-position model. The record is from RNAcentral.
GAUGAACGCUGGCGGCGUGCUUAACACAUGCAAGUCGAACGAUGAACCGGGUGCUUGCACUCGGGGAUUAGUGGCGAACGGGUGAGUAACACGUGAGCAACCUGCCCCUGACUCUGGGAUAAGCGCUGGAAACGGCGUCUAAUACUGGAUAUGUCCCGUCACCGCAUGGUGUGCGGGUGGAAAGAGUUUUCGGUUGGGGAUGGGCUCGCGGCCUAUCAGCUUGUUGGUGAGGUAAUGGCUCACCAAGGCGUCGACGGGUAGCCGGCCUGUGAGGGUGACCGGCCACACUGGGACUGAGACACGGCCCAGACUCCUACGGGAGGCAGCAGUGGGGAAUAUUGCACAAUGGGCGGAAGCCUGAUGCAGCAACGCCGCGUGAGGGAUGACGGCCUUCGGGUUGUAAACCUCUUUUAGCAGGGAAGAAGCGAGAGUGACGGUACCUGCAGAAAAAGCACCGGCUAACUACGUGCCAGCCGCCGCCGUAA